This 465-nucleotide ribosomal RNA is filed under the name uncultured bacterium. RNAcentral's name for it is "bacterial SSU rRNA". It matches the Rfam family "Bacterial small subunit ribosomal RNA", at positions 29 to 506 of the family's 1533-position model. The record is from RNAcentral.
GUGAACGCUGGCGGCGUGCUUAACACAUGCAAGUCGAACGGUAACAGGAAGUAGCUUGCUACUUUGCUGACGAGUGGCGCACGGGUGAGUAUUAUAUAGUUAAUGUGCCUCGAAGACUGGUAUAGCCACUGGAAACGGUGAUUAAUACUUGAUACACCUUUUUAACAUAAGUUAAAUCGGUAAAUGUCUUUUCGCUUCGAGAUCAGACUAUAUCCUAUCAGUUAGUUGGUGAGGUAAUGGCUCACCAAGGCAAUGACGGGUAGCGGUUCUGAGAGGAUGAUCCGCCACACUGGUACUGAGACACGGACCAGACUCCUACGGGAGGCAGCAGUGAGGAAUAUUGCACAAUGGGGGGAACCCUGAUGCAGCAACGCCGCGUGGAGGAUGACGGAUUUAGGUGUGUAAACUCCUUUUAUAGGUCAAGAAAAUGACGGUAGCAUAAGAAUAAGCACCGGCUAACUCCGU